AGUGUCCUUCCCCCUCCCCGCCCCGCCCGCCAGCCACCCCUCCACGGGCGGGGUGCGAGCUCACCGGCGCAGCAAACUUGGAGCAGGCUGCCGGGUCGGUGGGAAGAAACUUGGGUUAUUGGAUCUGGAAGAGCAUCCCUCUCCGGGUCCUGGAACCUGGGAGCUGCUAGGGCGGCUGGCCUCUCUGAGCAGUGGAAGAAAGCCAGCUGGGCUUGGAGAGUCCUGGGGGCAUGGGGAGAACCUGCCUGCCGCAGUGCCUGGGGCGAGGAUUGCAGCGGGCCUGGAGGCACACAAUGUCUUGGUCACAGAGCUGCGGCGCUAGGGAUCCGAACCUGGUGGAGACCCAGGACUGAUCCCUGGACCGGGACCCUUGGGGCCUACCGAACAUUUCAGGGUGGUUAUCUUGGAGAUGGUACAUAGGACCUGGAAUUGUCAUAUCCAUUUCUUUGGCAGGAAUACCAGGUUGAAUCAAUAAUCAAAAUUGCUACACAUAUUUUUGUGAGUGGAACAUCUAUACUUGUGUGAGCUGUUCACUGAGAAUCUGUAACCCACAGGACAGGCUGAGAGGUCAGCUAGGAAACAGCAGAGAACAGAAGACAAGACUGCAGUGAUAGAAAAAGAUGGAUAUCAAGCCAAAUGCAACAGCACUGCGUGCUGUCGGGCCACAGCAAAGGAUCCCUGUGCACGCAAAAAGAAAGUUGCACAAUAUGAAGGAAGCAGUAAAAAUGAAAUGAAGUAGAAGAGACAUGCAGAAAGAAAAACGCUCUCGGAUGUGUCACAAUCAUCUUGAUUCUUUACCUGAAAAACCUGUAUUUUUUUCCUUUGUAAUUAUCUAAUAUACUUUGUGUCAAAGAACAAGGACCUGAGUUCCACUUAAAGAAGAUGAAGAAGUUAACAGAUACCGUUCUCGGGUUUUAUCAUGAAGUUAGAAAUGAAAAUUUUCAGUUUCUGGUAGUCAUGAACAGAGAGCCUCAGGUAAGCCCCAGAGUGCAGGCAGACAGUCAGGAUGCUCCUGCGCAGGCUCCUCAGGUGCAGCUGUGCUGGGGGGAAAAAUCAUGCUGUUUAGCCUAAUGAGGCAAAACAGAAUAAAGGCCAAGGUAAUUCAGUAGAGAGGGUCUUAAAUGCACAGCUGUAUCAGCUGCUGACUCCUUCCUACCUGGUCUUCAUUUUUUCUCUGUGCAAUCUGUUUGCUUCCCUACUGGGCCUGCUAACAUUAUCUGAUUCCAGGCCAAACUGAUAUUAAUCAUUUGUUAUGAGGUCCCCCAAAUAAAAUUUGAGUUUGUCUUGUUGGUGUUCCCUGAACUAAAGUUAACUACGUGUGUCAAAUCCUAAAGUCCACUUGUUACACCAGCAUCAGGCUAAGAUGUAAACUCCAUUUGAACUACGGAACAGCUGCACUCCUCUUGAAACUCUACAUGCACAGAGAGAUGUAUGUUUGUAAGUGGACACAAUAGACAGAGUGCUAGUUGGUGUUUUAAAAGCCAAAACCUGGAAUACUUUUCUUUUGACUUCACAUAUGUAGAAAAUUAGGGUGUAAAAUGUACACGAGAAUAAAAUAAUACCAAGAUGAGUAAGUCCAUUAAAAAAUGUAGAUGAGCAAAUGACUUUAGCAUUAUUAAUGCUCACUGGGAAUUUGACAGGCCAAAUGAGCAUGUUUAUACUUGGUAACAAUUAAAAGGCUUACCAUUUUAAUCACUGGGACUUCCGGGAGAACAUGGUGGACAGAUAGCAGCAGCUAUGGAGGCUCUCUGAAAGAACCAGCUUGGAAUUCAGGAAUGGUGCGGAGUAAGGAGUCAUGAGCAGGUAGAGAUAUGCCCUGGUGACCCAAGAAAGAACUGGGCUGAGAGAAACCAACUUGGAGUGCAAUCCUGGUGCUAUAACAGGAACAGAAAAGCCUCAGUGUGGAAGCUGGAGCCCGCACCAUUGAAAGCCAUGAUUUGGGUGUCCCGCCGCGCCGCCAGCUGCGUCUACAUCGGCUUGGCAGGGAGAGAGACUCGCUCUGAGAACGGGAAUCGGCGAACAGAGUUGCAGUAGGUGAGUGAGAGAAACUGACACUCUUCCCACGGUUUGGGAGACUCCAACAGAGGACAUUCUGGGACUGGGCAGACUUGCGGGAGCAGGGUGCUGAGGCGACUUCAGCCACAUACCCCCCCUCUCAAGCGGGAUUGGUGAGAAGUGCCUAGCCUAGGUGACACUGCUGGCUGAGACCCACUGGGCUAGCACAACCCAGAUCCCAGAGCCUGAGGGUGACCUGGAGGGCCGGCCCCGCAUAGGCUGCCUGAUCUGCAACUUCCUGAUGUGCUGCGGUGGGCGGGAACCCCUAGCCAGCGCAAUUCAAUCAGACUGUGGCUGACAGGAAAGGAAGCUGGGCCUCCUAUAUACGCUUGCUUAUAUAAGGAACAAAGAAUAUGGGAAGAGGGAGCAACAACAAGAAAGGCCCUUCGGCCCCCAAUCCUGAGAAACAGGCAAUAGCGGACACUGCACUAAUAGACAUAAAGCGCCAUCUAGAGAGCCUCAUAGAUCAGUUCAGGAAUGAAGUUAUUAAUGACCUGAAGCUAGAAAUAAGCAGAAUAGUUAGAGAAAUGCUAAGCACCACCCAAGAAAAAACAGAUGGUGGAAUGGAAGAUCAGAAAAAGAGGGGAGAAUUGUUUGAUGCAGAAAAUAGAGAAAGCAUAGAAUACGUGAAGCAGGUUCAAAGAGACUACCAGGAAACUAAGAACUCUAUAGAAAACUGGCAUAACAGCUUGAAAGAAACUAAGGACAGACUAUCUGAACUGGAGGGCAGAUUAGUAAUAUGGGAGAAUGAAAUGAAAAACUUCUUAAAAGUAACAAAGAAACAAACAGCAAUAAUACAAAGACAAGAAGAUAAGAGGAUCCAUAACUUAAGAAUUAAGAACAUAAAAGAAGAAGUAGGGACACAAACAAAUGAACUACAAAAGCUACUCACAGAAAUAAUCCAGGAGAAUUUUCCUAAUUUAGCAAAA
This is a long non-coding RNA of Cavia porcellus (domestic guinea pig), 2984 nucleotides long. RefSeq lists it as uncharacterized. The transcript is spliced from 3 exons. NCBI's taxonomy places the organism in Eukaryota, Metazoa, Chordata, Mammalia, Rodentia, Caviidae. The record is from RefSeq and is a predicted model, not a curated record.